UGAGACGAAGUAAACACGUCAUGUGUGUUGCUAAUGUUGGGGCAUGUAAUAUGUAAUACAUGAACGUUUUAAUAAAUAGUCUAACAAUUUAUAGUCGUUGUACCCUAUUGUUAUAAUAUUUCUUUUUGACUGAUUACAUGUUUGUUUUAUUUGUAUAUAUCCUAGAUGGACACAUCCUUCUACACUGUAGGCAGCAGUAGACGUGAUGUAUAAUGCCAAACAUGUAACAUCAUUACACACAGUACAAGGAGUCAGACUGGCAUAUGAGGAGCAAAGGUAUGUGUAACAUAUGGGGCCCUAUCUUGCACCCAGCGCAAUUGACUUUGUCAGUGACGCAUGUAUCAUUUCGUAUUUUGCACUGGCGCACAGUGGGUUUUUCCCUCCACAGACGCACGUCGGCAAACUAGGGAAUGAACUUGCGCUCCCUGGGCGGUUCAGCGCAAAAAAGGAGGCGUGCUCCGGGGCAAACCAUCUCUUAUGCUAUUUUGCAGUUUCAAAAAACAAUUGCGCUACUAACCAAAAAAAACUAGUCUAAAGUCAGUGGCGCGUUGCGCGUGGUUCAUUAUGCUAUUUUAAGGGCGCAUGCUUGACCAUAAUGUAUAGCGUGCACAACGCGCAUUGCUUAUCUAAUCUACACAGAUGCAACAGUUAUUUUUGCAAAUCAUAAAUUGUUACAAUAAAAAUAUAAGAUAAGGGAAAUCUUUAAAUCAUAAAUUGUUACAAUAAAAAAUAUUAAUACAAGAGAUAAGGGAAAUCAUUGUGGUGAGCAUUGUGGUGAUAGUUUUUAUUUAUUUUGUGUGGCAGCGUUAAACAAUUAUCAUGCAAAUAACGAUUAAAAUAUUUUCAUAAGUUUGUUGUGUGGUUGUAUUACGUUUAUUUUAUCUAAAUAAUAAUUAAAAUGUUUUCAUAAGAAACCUUCAUGUAUGUGAACUUGAUUUGUUUGGGGUUGGACCUUGCUUGCGUUUCUUGUGUCCGAUUUCAAAGCCCCCAAACCCUUUCAGCGGUGAGGGUGGACGCAGCAAUGUCCUCCUGUGUGCCCGGCGUGCCCGAUUUAUGCUGGCAAGCUUGGGAUCCCCCCGUCUCCUGACAUCAUUGUGCUUGGCGCAGCUGAUGAGACAAUUGCGUCUAUUUCCUCUCACGCCUGUUUAACCGACGCUGAUUUGGGCGGGUUUCUCCCAUCCCCAUACAAAACAACUUCUCUGUCUUUGACUGCUCUUACAAGAACGUCGGUCUCCUCGGCUGUGAACCGCUCCUGGCGUGCGCCUGGUAAAUCCGUCAUAAUAAUAGCAACCCGCCAUGGAACUUGCGCCCUUGCGUUUAAAGGGAAUGUUGGAUAGCGUUCUGAUUGGUUUAUUUGACGUUACGCCCAAACCACACCUAUGAAUAAUGAACCUACUUCAGACCAACCCCUUAUUGAUUUGCGCCCGGCGCAAGACUUAUUUCUCCCGCCGGGAAAAUAGCAACAGCGCCCAAGAUCCGCCCACAAAGUCACUUGCGCUUUGCGCUUCGGACUUGCGUUUCAGAUCAUUAAAAUAGGGCCCAUGAUGUAUUUAGCUAGUGAUACCACUACCAGUCUUAAAUGUAUAACUGAUGAUGUCAAAGUUUUUUUCUCUGCAUAAUCAUAGAAACCCAGGCAGUAGCGUCGUUUCACAAUGUUUCCAUCACCAUUAUCAGUGGAUGACUUUGCCUUCCAUAGCCUGAGAUUUCAGAUUUGCAGCAAAAAAUGUGAUGCUGUGCAGGUUGUACCUUGCAGCCAUCCAUUACAAUGUCACCAAGCCAUAACAAAAGCAGGAGAGGGAAAGUACAAGGUUAUGUUCCCAAAAAACACAAGCAACAUACUUUAUGUGGAUGAUGUGAUCAGGCUUGUGUUUGAGGUAUUUGAAGAUAAGCUGAAGGAAACCCCGAUUCCAAUGGACCUGGCAUCACAGUUUAAAAGGCCUUCAAAGGAUUUCAUGCCAUCUUCAGUGUAGGGGUCGUCUGAAGCCAACAUACUGACCAGUCAGAUCAGGAAGCUCCAAGCGUAUCUGGAGAACAACACACGACAGGAUGAUAACCUUAUAGUGUCGUCUUAGAUAGCACCAGCUGACAAAGCUUUGAUAUGCCAUUUAUCUGUAUAGAUAGCUGAACACAAUAUGGUUACUAAAGUAUGUUUAUUUGUAUAUUGUUUAACAUUUAAAUAUAUAUUUGUAA
Misgurnus anguillicaudatus (oriental weatherfish) is the source of this 2190-nucleotide non-coding RNA. NCBI's taxonomy places the organism in Eukaryota, Metazoa, Chordata, Actinopteri, Cypriniformes, Cobitidae. The record is from RefSeq and is a predicted model, not a curated record.